UACGUAGGGGGCAAGCGUUAUCCGGAUUUACUGGGUGUAAAGGGAGCGUAGACAGCAUAGCAAGUCUGAAGUGAAAGCCCGUGGCUCAACCGCGGAACUGCUUUGGAAACUGUUAAGCUGGAGUACUGGAGAGGCAAGCGGAAUUCCUAGUGUAGCGGUGAAAUGCGUAGAUAUUAGGAGGAACACCAGUGGCGAAGGCGGCUUGCUGGACAGAGACUGACGUUGAGGCUCGAAAGCGUGGGGAGCAAACAGG
RNAcentral lists this ribosomal RNA (253 nucleotides) under uncultured bacterium. RNAcentral describes it as "partial 16S ribosomal RNA". It matches the Rfam family "Bacterial small subunit ribosomal RNA", at positions 524 to 776 of the family's 1533-position model. The record is from RNAcentral.